Molecule: long non-coding RNA, 3039 nt
Filed under: Homo sapiens (human)
Lineage: Eukaryota; Metazoa; Chordata; Mammalia; Primates; Hominidae
Description: HSALNT0282218
Source: RNAcentral
CCUUGUGGUGCCAGGCAGGAAUGGCUGCUUGGGGACCCACUGAGCUCCCAGACCUUUCUGCUGUAUCCUCUACCCCUGUAUUUCACUUGGCUCUCUAAAUUGACUCAGCUCCAAGUAAGGUCGGAAACUUCUCCCACAAACAGACCUUCAGUUUCUCCAGCGGGGGGCGCAGGAGGUUGCAGCCAGGCUAACAGAAACCCAGCCCUGCCCACUGGGUGAAACUGCAAGUCGAGAGCGUGGGAAACCAGCAAGUUGAGAGAGGAUCCAGAAGUAACCCCUUCUAAAACGGGAAAGAUGCCUUCCGAAAGCACUUGGCCCUAAAGAGAAAACACUAGGAGGAUGGGAACCAGGGACAGAGAAGCUACUUGCUCUGCAGCUGUUUGGGCCAGUAUGUUCCCUAAUCUUGAUGGCCAUCCUGGGCUUAUUUUCCUGAGAGUCUCUAAGUGACUCACUGCAUCACGUAAAACUAAGAAAAAGGAUGUCCUGAAUUUUCCUGCUUAGAGAGCUUGUUUUUCUUUCCUGUUGCAUCAAAGGGGUCUGUUAAACUUUCUAAAAGUACUAAUCUGACCUGAUAUCUGAAGUAACAGAUAGGAAUUUGGGCUCUUUAAAUGGAGCCCUUCCCCCAUACCUGCAUCUCAUUGAAGAGGCUGAACUUCAAAACAAAAUCAUGUUGGAGAAUUAAGUCUCGUUCCCAGAUUUAAUUUCUUAUUUUUAUAUUGUUGCAUAAGAAAUCUACUCUAUAAGGCAUCUAUUUUCAAAUUUGGAAAAUCUUAUUUUAAGUUCAUUUAUUUAAAGACCAACAAACAAAAACACCAAAUUCACUAGCCCAGGUCUUUAUGGACCACCAUCUCCCCUCCCCGCCUCCAUUUCUCCCUGGAGUAGUGAUUGUGGGGCCACUGCAUGAAUUUUACUCUAUUAUUUAUCUAAUGAGCAAAGCCAAGGCUGGCAAUGCUGAGAAUGCAUGAGGGAAAAAAAGAUAUCACAAUGACAGCACACUCUGCAGCGUUCCAUCCAAAAGCAAAUGAUCCAAUGGCCCCAUCUAGACUGGAGACACCAACUCAUGACUCAGCUGGCCUUGUGGCCCACACCCAGAAGUGGACUCAGUGCAUGAGGACUAUUUUCCACACUCCUAUGAUAGCAUCCCCAACCAAUCAGCAGGACCAUUUCCUAGCCCCUUGCCCACCAAACUAUCUUUUAAAAAACCUGGCUGGGCGCAGUGGCUCACACCUGCAAUCCCAGCACUUUGGGAGUCUGAGGUGGGUGGAUCACGAGGUCAGGAGUUCAAGACCAGCCUGGCUAAGAUGGUGAAACCCUGUCUCUACUAAAAAUACAAAAAAAAUUAGCCGGGCAUGGUGGCAGGCACCUGUAAUCCCAGCUACUUGGGAGGUUGAGGCAGAGAAUUGCUUGAACCCAGAGGCGGAGGUUACAGUGAGCCGAGAUCACUCCACUGCACUCCAGCCUGGAUAACAGAGCAAGACUCUGUCUCAAGGAAAAAAAAAAACAACCUAGCCUCCACAUUUUCAGAGAGGCUCGUUUGAGUAAUAAUAAAACUCUGGUCUCCCAUUUAGCUGGCUCUUCUUGUAUUAAACUCUUUUUCUAUUGCAAUAACCCUGUCUUGAUAAAUUAGCUUCAUCUGGGAAGCAGGCAAGAAGAACUUAUUGGAUGGUUAUAUAGUGGGCUUCUAGCAUGGCCUAGAGAUGCAGAGGCCAUGGCAGAUAAAGCCAACUUCCUCCAACUGAGUAGAGGACUCAGGGGCCCAGAGGAGUCAGAAGGGGAGAUGGGAGCCAAGGAUGAGGAAGAACUCCUGGAAAGGCCUGAGAAAGAAGGACCCUAAGUUUAGCAUCUUAGGUCCCGAAAAAUGGCUGAAGGAGAGGAAAAGAUGGAGAGAAAGAGUAUUGUGACAUGAACCUGCCCCUGUGCCUCGAGUUCCUGGGAGUUUCUUGUUAGCUUCUGUGUCCUGUUUUUCUGUAUCCUCUGCAAAGGAAAGAUGAAAUCUGUUGCCACAUAGGCGAUGGGGUUCAGGACACACUACUCCAAAAGAUGGCAUCUUGUCAUAUUGAAGAAAAUAGCAGAAACUGGACCAUUGGUCUUACCUUUCCCCAUACUUCUCCCCUGAAGUGGAUUAUAAAACCUAGGAAGGACUCUCUGACUGAGACGGUUUGGCUGUGUCUCCACCCAAAUCUCAUCUUGAAUUGUAACUCCCACAAUUCCCACAUGUCAUGGGAGGAACCCAGUGGGAGGUGAUUGAAUUAUGGGGGCGAGUCUUUCCUGCACUGUUCUUGUGAUAGUGAAUGAGUCUCAUGAGAUCUGAUGGUUUGAUAAGGGGAAGCCCGUUUUGCUUGGCUCUCAUUCUCUCUCUUUGCCUGCCACCAUCCACGUAGGAUGUGACUUGCUCCUCCUUGUUUUCCAACAUGAUUGUGAGGCCUCCCCAGCCACGUGGAACUGGAGAAGACCACAGAAGCUCUGCAUUUGGAACUUUUCCUGGAUUCUGUCCCAUUUGCUUCUUCCCAUGACCGAUUUUGAUCUACCACCCUGGCCCAUCAUGCCCCCAUCCUGUACCUAUAAAAACUCUGAGACCCUCGCAGGCAGAGACACAAGCCGCUGGACGUCGAGAGGAACACAUUGGUGGAGGAACUCACAGGUGGCUGGAUGUCAAGAGGAACACACUGGCGGAAGAGCACACUGACAAGCACCAGCAGACAACGGCACGCUGGGGCACGCCGGCAGGCCAUCAACCUGCAGAACGAUGUGGAGUUUGGCCUGGGCAGUCGGAGGAGAGUCCAGCUGCUGAGCAGUCCGACUCCAGGAAAAAAACACCUUCCCAUUCCAUCUCCCUUCUGGCUCUCCCAUCUUCUGAGAGCUACUUCCAUUCAAUAAAACCUUGCACUCAUUCUCCAAGCCCAAGUGUGAUCUGAUUCUUCCGGUACACCAAGGCAAGAAACCCUGGGAUACCGAAAGCCCUCUGUCGUUGCGAUAAGGCAGGGGGUCUAAUUGAGCUGUGUAACACAAGUUGCCUACAGACGGCUAAACUGAAAGAGC